AUUGAACGCUGGCGGCAGGCCUAAUACAUGCAAGUCGAACGAGUGGCGGACGGGUGAGUAAUGUCUGGGAAACCGCCUCUUGGAGGGGGAUAACUCCUGGAAACGGUAGCUAAUACCGCAUACCAUCUGAUGUGCCAAGAUGGGAUUAGCUAGUAGGUGGGGUAAAGGCUCACAUAGGCGACGAUCCCUAGCUGGGCUGAGCGGAUGACCAGCCACACUGGAACUGAGACACGGUCCAGACUCCUACGGGAGGCAGCAGUGGGGAAUAUUGCACAAUGGGCGCAAGCCUGAUGCAGCCAUGCCGCGUGUAUGAAGAAGGCCUUAGGGUUGUAAAGUACUUUCAGCGGGGAGGCGGUACCCGCAGAAGAAGCACCGGCUAACUCCGUGCCAGCCGCCGCGGUAAUUC
Molecule: ribosomal RNA, 406 nt
Filed under: uncultured bacterium
Lineage: Bacteria
Description: partial 16S ribosomal RNA
Rfam family: Bacterial small subunit ribosomal RNA
Source: RNAcentral